Long non-coding RNA from Meriones unguiculatus (Mongolian gerbil), 4249 nucleotides. RefSeq lists it as uncharacterized. The record is from RefSeq and is a predicted model, not a curated record. NCBI's taxonomy places the organism in Eukaryota, Metazoa, Chordata, Mammalia, Rodentia, Muridae. The transcript has 2 exons.
AAACGUGAGUGGAGGUGGUGGGGACCUAACCGGGCUCGGAGCUCCAGCGAAACCCAGAGUUGAGUGGUUCUCCGAGGUUCCCGAGUACAAAGUAGGGCAAGUCCUGGUUUCCAGACUCCGGCUCGUGGUCUCAGGUCUAGAUCCUAGAUCCAACCCCUGCGAGGUCUCCAAAACGGCCUUCCCCUGAAGCCGGACAACAGAACACCGACUUUCGUACUUGAUGCCAGGUUGCGAAUCUGAUAUGAAAAAGGAGAAAUUUAAAUGUUCAGCUUGUUCCUUUCUGCGAUUUAGCCUGCAACUAGAGACAACAAAUUUGCAUUUUAAAACACUGAGGAUCAGACCCUGUAAUCAGAUCCUCAGGAAUGCACAACUGUGCUUGGGAAAAGUUACUCCAACAUCUCUCCCUUUUGGAUAUUAACAGAUAAAACACAGAUUGAAUAGCAUGACUUGAAAUUACAAAAGAUUGAAAAAAAAAAAACAACAACAACAACCAACUAAUUUUGCAAGAACAGAAUAAUUAAAACUAAAGACCAAACUCCCACAUCCAGUUUUUUCCUUGCAGAAUUUACUUUUGUGAAUUCAAAUGACAGCUAGCAACCCGCAUAUCAGAACCAGAAAUCCCGGGUGUUUUUCCAGCACCGAGUUUUAGGACAGAGCCUCUCGAUCACUGCUCUGAAAGUCUCUAAGUAACUAAGCUUACCAUAAAGACCCAGAAAGAGCUCCGGCUCUCCAGCGCUGGAUUGCAAACUAGUUUUGGAGAUUGAUUUUAGGAUGUCAUGCUUGCAGGCAAACACAUCACCAUGUUUCCUGAGGCCUUGUUUUAUUUCUUUAAAAGAAAAGGCAAGGGGGGGGUGGUGGUGAGAAAAGGACUCUGGCUAGGCUAGAACCUGCUCUGUGGAUCAUUCUGGCUUCAAACUCAAAGACUGGUCUGGGAGUGUCUCAGUACUUGGGAUUUAAGGUGUCUACCACCAUGCCUGGCGCUUCCUUAAAAUAGUUUUAUUAGUGUUUAUUUAUUAUUCAAAUUGGUAGGUUUCAUUAUGAUGUUUUCACAUAUAUUAAAUACUUUGCUCAUAUCCACUUAACUAUUUUUAUCAGAAAAUGAAAAAUGCAUGAUGAAAAUGCUUUUUAAAACACUCUGUUAGGUUUUGUUUCCAUUGGCUUUUGAAUUUGGAACCAGGUUGCCAUGUUGUCCGAUACCAAAGCCAUUCCCACGAAAUGGAAUUGCUAUUCCUCCUCUACAUGUUUUCAAUCGUGUGAAGGCAAAUAUUUGAAAUUCUCAUCCUUCAAACAUUCUUGCUUAAUCCACUCAAUGACACUCCUUGAGUCUGUUAAAUCUCGAAGUCAAUGGGGCUUCCCCAGUGGGAACUCUUAGCCUUUUCUUAGGUUUUCUUAGUUUAGUUUUGUUUCCCAAAGCCACAUGAUCUCUUUUUUAUUUGCCUCAACUGAAGGUGUGUUUUGUCAUACCAAAAAGAAAGAGUGUUGCUGAAAGUUCUUCCAGGACAGACUUAAGCAAUGUCUACCGACUCUUCACGUCCAAGGUCAAAAGGAGGCAGUCAAAGUUCACUCUGAGGAAUCCCUGAGUUUAUUGGGCUUCCUUACAGAGCUGAGGACCUUCUUACCGGGCGGGGUGUGGGUGCUCCUCUCUGAUGGUCACGCCUGAAAAGACUUUACCCUGCAGGGAUGAGUUUCCCCAUAGCUGCUUAGAUGGGCCUCUCCCUCCCCUGGUCUUCCCUGGCCUAAAAAUUCUAGGUCCUCCCUCAGACCAUGUGUAAUUAAGGCCAGUUGUGUACACAGGUGAGGGUCUCAUCACCCUCCUCACCCCUUAAUGAAGGAAUGUAAACAGCCAACGAGCCCAUCUGGGUUUGGGGGGGAAGGGUGGUUGGCAAAGGGCCACAGCUGACCUCCACAAGAUGGCAAUUGCUUGGCUCUGAGGACAGUUACAACAGGGAGCCAGAAAGGAAAGGACAAAGAGUGUCAGAAAUUCAUCAAGAAAAUUAACAUUGUUGCUUAAUCCAUUCAAUGCUGUUUACACAUUCUGGUUUCUCUGGAGGAAUUAAAUGUUUGCAACAGAUGUGUGAGAUGCCAUGGCUCAGAGGGGAUAACUACAGAAUUCUUCAGUGGAACAUCUUUGGGCCUGCUCCCUUGCAGAAAAUGCAGAAAGCUCUAGAGCAUUCCUGAGUGGAUAGGAAGCAGGGUGGUGAGAGUGUCCCCUGGGAGUACAGGUCAGUAGUGGAAUGCUCGCCUACCGUGCCCGGGGUUCUGGGUUCUACCCUCAGUACUGCAACAAGUAAAGACAGGGCCGUGAGGCAGCAGAAGAGAGACAAAGACGAAAACUGUAGAACUGUGGUCUGCCCAGAAUUAGCUCUGCUGACUCUCAGGAUGUUCUUUCUCCGAUACAGGAGUGGGGUUAUCAGAAAGUGUGGGCACACAGUUCCCCUGUCCUGAGCUAAGCGCUUGCAGCUCCCUCCUUCCUCUACUUCCUGGUGUGCCAGUGUGUGAGCAAGGUUUCAUCGCUGCAGCUUCACUAUUUUUUUUUUUUUUUUUUUUUUUUGCCCAUGUGUUUGUGCACAUACAGAUGAGCUUUAGUCUUUUUACGUUUAGUGUGCCUGUGUGUGUGUACACAAGCUAUGGCAUGCAUACGGAAGUCAGAGGACAGUUUGCAGGAGUCAUUUCUUUCCAGGAACACCUCGGGAGUUCCUAGGGCUGAAUUCAGGUUAUCAAACCUGGCAGCAAGUGCCUUUACCUCCUGUGCCACUUUGAUGGUCUCAAUGAACGGGCUUUGUCUACUUUUGGUUUUGGUAUGGUCCAAACAAGAAUUUCUUGAAUCAGCUUUAUGAAUAUUGUAGCCUCUAGUCAGUUUUUAAAGAAUGAAAGGAAACCUUUUUCCCCCCAGUAGUAAAGACUUGAUCAGUUACUCUUUUCUGUUGGAAGAAAUUCCCAUGCAGAAUCUUCUGAGAGGAAUUACCUUUCAUGGCUCAGAAGACUCAGUGGUCCUACUAUAUGAAGAGCUCCUAAUUCUGAGACCAUUCUAUGAAGAUGAAGCUGUGAUCUCCUACACACUCAAGAGCCAUAGAACCUAGCCAUUGAACAAACAUCACAGUGGAUGGAGGUCCCGCCUGAAAAAGAAAAAAAAAAAAUCCCAGAUGAGCCAUAGACAGGAGGAGUCACUUAAAAUGCUCCAGAUCACUUUAAAACCUCUCAGAGGUCUCUUCUCACAUGGACAAGUAAUUACAUGUGUGUCCAUCUAGCCUCAGAUCCACUGAAAGGGCACACCAUACCAUUCACCCUGAGUUAUGAGCAGAGCAUUUUGUGAUGGAGAUGAACUUUGAGUAGUUCCUUAGGUGACAGGACUCUACCUGUGGGGCUGAGAAGCAGUGAAUGCAGGGAGGCCAUUACAAGGUCUGUUGGGGAGUUUGGAUUCCAUCCUGUGGAUGGUAUGGCUAUGUCAGUCCAGGGGUCUCCUGCUUAAUUUGAACCAGAAAUUAUCAAUAUGCAAGCAAUGCCAACCAAGCCGAACAUUCCUGGAGUGGAAGCGUGUUACACCAUGUUCAUAGUCUGGUCGAUGUUCCCAGACUGGUUCAGUGUGGCUGUUAUAUACACUGCAGGAAAACUUGCCUUGUCUUUGCUCUCAGCAUUGAGGUCUGCACUUAGUGCUUAUGUGCCCUUAGGUUUAUCUGUACAGAAAGAUGGCAGAUGGCAUGGGUGAAGAGGAAGUUUCUGGUUUCUUUGAGGACUCAGUUGAGUCAUGUGAUGUUUUUCUAGAAGCUGCCUUACGAGAGGGCUUGUGGUAUUUCGUUGGAGGCUGGCUUGUGAGAAGGCGCGCAGUGUUUUGUUAUGAGCUGUCUCAUGCAAGGGGCAUGGCUUUGGUCAGCUGAGAGUUCUUAGGCGAGGAGACAUUGCUUUGUGGAUCCACAUUGCUGCACUGAUUUUCAGGCUUCCACACUUGACUUCGCAGAGAAAUGUUCCAGAGAAUUUCUUGGGGCAAUCCAACUGAGUCUGUGGCUUUCGCUGACUUGUCCGGAUCUCCUGAAUCAUGCUGAUUUGUGAUGCUGCUUGGUGUUGGCCUUUGGACUGGACUACUGGUAUCCGGACAAUGAAGAGUGGACUCAUCCCAAGGAACUACUUCUGAAAAGGUCUUCAGCCCCCUUUACCUAAUAACCUCCUUUCUUCCCUACAUCUGGUCUGGGGGUAGAAGGGAGGUAGAAGCAUUUAAGAACCCUAAAUAAAGUAGGUUUGGUGAAAAAUCUAA